GACGAACGCUGGCGGCGUGCUUAACACAUGCAAGUCGAACGGAAAGGCCCUGCUUUUGUGGGGUGCUCGAGUGGCGAACGGGUGAGUAACACGUGAGUAACCUUCCCUUGACUUUGGGAUAACUUCAGGAAACUGGGGCUAAUACCGGAUAGGAGCUCCUGCUGCAUGGUGGGGUUUGGAAAGUUUCGGCGGUUGGGGAUGGACUCGCGGGUUAUCAGCUGGUUGGUGGGGUAGUGGCUUACCAAGGCUUUGACGGGUAGCCGGCCUGAGAGGGUGAACGGCCACAUUGGGACUGAGAUACGGCCCAGACGCCUACGGGAGGCAGCAGUGGGGAAUAUUGCACAAUGGGCGGAAGCCUGAUGCAGAAACGCCGCGUGCGGGAUGACGGCCUUCGGGUUGUAAACCGCUUUCGCCUGUGACGAAGCGUGAGUGACGGUAAUGGGUAAAGAAGCACCGGCUAACUACGUG
RNAcentral lists this ribosomal RNA (468 nucleotides) under uncultured bacterium. Its description in RNAcentral is "partial 16S ribosomal RNA". It matches the Rfam family "Bacterial small subunit ribosomal RNA", at positions 28 to 507 of the family's 1533-position model. The record is from RNAcentral.